Molecule: ribosomal RNA, 879 nt
Filed under: Bacillus sp. (in: firmicutes)
Lineage: Bacteria; Bacillati; Bacillota; Bacilli; Caryophanales; Bacillaceae
Description: bacterial SSU rRNA
Rfam family: Bacterial small subunit ribosomal RNA
Source: RNAcentral
AGAGUUUUGAAUAUGGCUCAGGACGAACGCUGGCGGCGUGCCUAAUACAUGCAAGUCGAGCGGACAGAUGGGAGCUUGCUCCCUGAUGUUAGCGGCGGACGGGUGAGUAACACGUGGGUAACCUGCCUGUAAGACUGGGAUAACUCCGGGAAACCGGGGCUAAUACCGGAUGGUUGUUUGAACCGCAUGGUUCAAACAUAAAAGGUGGCUUCGGCUACCACUUACAGAUGGACCCGCGGCGCAUUAGCUAGUUGGUGAGGUAACGGCUCACCAAGGCGACGAUGCGUAGCCGACCUGAGAGGGUGAUCGGCCACACUGGGACUGAGACACGGCCCAGACUCCUACGGGAGGCAGCAGUAGGGAAUCUUCCGCAAUGGACGAAAGUCUGACGGAGCAACGCCGCGUGAGUGAUGAAGGUUUUCGGAUCGUAAAGCUCUGUUGUUAGGGAAGAACAAGUACCGUUCGAAUAGGGCGGUACCUUGACGGUACCUAACCAGAAAGCCACGGCUAACUACGUGCCAGCAGCCGCGGUAAUACGUAGGUGGCAAGCGUUGUCCGGAAUUAUUGGGCGUAAAGGGCUCGCAGGCGGUUUCUUAAGUCUGAUGUGAAAGCCCCCGGCUCAACCGGGGAGGGUCAUUGGAAACUGGGGAACUUGAGUGCAGAAGAGGAGAGUGGAAUUCCACGUGUAGCGGUGAAAUGCGUAGAGAUGUGGAGGAACACCAGUGGCGAAGGCGACUCUCUGGUCUGUAACUGACGCUGAGGAGCGAAAGCGUGGGGAGCGAACAGGAUUAGAUACCCUGGUAGUCCACGCCGUAAACGAUGAGUGCUAAAUGUUAGGGGGUUUCCGCCCCUUAGUGCUGCAUGCUAACGCAUUAAGCA